GCCGCUCCAGUCGGCCUCGUGUCUAAGAAGCUGUGGAGUUUGUGCCCUUCACCCUUGCAUUUGUCUGACUGUACCCCCGUGGGGAUUCUGCCCUGCUCACCCGCAGUGCUUCUCUUGGUGGUGCAGAUUCGUGGCUGUUGGUGUGGAGCGUGGCUGGCACUGCUCAGAGUGCCUGAGAGGAAGGAUAGGCACCUUGUGUGGUCUUGCAGACGUGCCAAGGCUGCUAUGCAGCUCUGACUGCAUGGGGGCUGAGGAGGGGGCUUGCAGUGGUGGCCACAGCCAGCAAGGGGCCUUUACUGAAGAGAAAUGAGGAUUCUUGCAUCUAGGUUCAGGUCCAUGGUGGAACAGACCAGACUCAGUGAGUCCCAUCCCUGUCCCUGUCCAGAGGCCUCUUGCUCAGAUCACAGCCCAGGUCCUGUCACUGUCUCUCCCUGAGGGGCCCUGAGUUCAUCCUGGUCUGAGAGCAGUGCUGCUUGGGAAUGUAUCAGAAGAUCCAGGACUGGGAACUUCCAUGCUGCCUCCAGCAGGAAAGAAGGUGCCUGUUUCAGAAGCUGACUUUCGAAAAGCUUCAGUGACCAUCCUUCUCUCUUGGUUGAGCUGUGUGAGUGUACCCGGAGAAAUGCGAGAAGCAGAAUUGCUAACUUGGAGAGUCAGGUACAUUUAUAAUCGUUACACCUAUUAUAAAGUCAAUGUCAUGUUUUAAAUUGUCACAUGUAUUGGCU
This 722-nucleotide long non-coding RNA is filed under the name Castor canadensis (American beaver). RNAcentral describes it as "lncRNA (ENSCCNG00000021388.1)". The record is from RNAcentral. Lineage: Eukaryota; Metazoa; Chordata; Mammalia; Rodentia; Castoridae.